RNAcentral lists this ribosomal RNA (139 nucleotides) under Schistocerca pallens. Its description in RNAcentral is "partial 12S ribosomal RNA". Lineage: Eukaryota; Metazoa; Arthropoda; Insecta; Orthoptera; Acrididae. The record is from RNAcentral.
GGCUCUGGGGGGGGUACACAUCGCCCGUCGCUCUCAUUAUUGAUUAUUCUAUUUUAUUUUUUUUAAUUUAGCUUCAAUUUAGAUGAGAUAAGUCGUAACAUAGUAGAUGUACUGGAAAGUGUAUCUAGUAAGAGUUUCA